GCAUGGAUGAAUUCUGUUUUACUUCCUGGUAGUAAAAACAGUCAGACACCAUGCUAAAGGAAACUUCAUACUGACAUUUCUGCAAAACAAGGACUCAUGUGCCCUGUUGUUGGUUUGGUGUGAACACAAAA
Small nucleolar RNA from Boleophthalmus pectinirostris (great blue-spotted mudskipper), 131 nucleotides. RefSeq annotates it as small nucleolar RNA SNORA15. NCBI's taxonomy places the organism in Eukaryota, Metazoa, Chordata, Actinopteri, Gobiiformes, Gobiidae. The transcript has a single exon. The record is from RefSeq and is a predicted model, not a curated record.